Potamilus streckersoni is the source of this 77-nucleotide non-coding RNA. The record is from the annotation of a GenBank genome assembly. NCBI's taxonomy places the organism in Eukaryota, Metazoa, Mollusca, Bivalvia, Unionida, Unionidae.
GACCUCUCCGGCGGCCUAGUGGUUAGAGCGUCCGCCUAGGAUGCUAGAGGUCAUGGGUUCGAUCCCCGGCCGAGUCA